GGUUUAGACAGAUGCCUUGCCUGGCAUAUUAUUUGCCUAUAACACAUCUAAUCAUGAAUCAUCGACACGCCUUUUGAGCUGAUGUAUGGUAGAAAAGCAAUACAAGCUUAUGAGGAUGAUGAUGAUUAUGAUAUAGAUCCCGACAAUUGAGGAGAAAGAUAGGGAAAACCAUUUUCAAAGGUUUGCAAGAUGCAAGACAUACAUAAUGUUGCCAUAGGAAAUAUUAAUCUUGCCCAACUCAAGCAGCAGAGUGAUUAUAGAAUCCGCAAUUCUGGGGAAAAUACUCCCUAUAAGAUAAAUGAUAAGGUGCUUAUCUGAAACAGCCGUCGAGCUGAUAGGGGGGAAAAAUGACACGGCCUUGGCUGGGCCUUUUUACAAUAUUUGGGAUUGGCAAAAGCAACGUAGAGCUAAUGAGUGCCUGUGGGAAACAGAUAAAAACCUGAGCAAAUAUUUGUAACAUAAACAUUAUGUUACAAGAAAAGAUGACACAAUUAAAGCUGGACAGAAAAAAGUUCUAAGGUUACCAAGUGAAAAGUUUCAUU
This is a long non-coding RNA of Gordionus sp. m RMFG-2023, 542 nucleotides long. RefSeq lists it as uncharacterized. The transcript is spliced from 5 exons. The record is from RefSeq and is a predicted model, not a curated record. Lineage: Eukaryota; Metazoa; Nematomorpha; Gordioida; Chordodea; Parachordodidae.